UCGAGGAUCUUCCGCAAUGGGCGCAAGCCUGACGGAGCGACGCCGCGUGUGGGAUGAAGGCCUUCGGGUUGUAAACCACUGUCACUCGUUAAGAAAGGGUCCGGUGUUAACAGCAUCGGGAACUGACAAAGGCGAGAGAGGAAGCCACGGCUAACUUCGUGCCAGCAGCCGCGGUAAGACGAAGGUGGCGAGCGUUGUUCGGAAUCACUGGGCAUAAAGCGCACGUAGGCGGCGGCGUAAGUUGGAUGUGAAAUCCCUCGGCCUAACCGAGGAACUGCGUCCAGUACUGCGUUGCUUGAGGAUCCAAGGGGUGCAUGGAAUUCCCGGUGGAGCGGUGAAAUGCGUUGAUAUCGGGAGGAACUCCGGCGGCGAAAGCGGUGCACUGGUGGAUUUCUGACGCUGAGGUGCGAAAGCCAGGGGAGCAAACGGGAUUAGAUACCCCCGUAGUCC
This 450-nucleotide ribosomal RNA is filed under the name uncultured bacterium. Its description in RNAcentral is "bacterial SSU rRNA". It matches the Rfam family "Bacterial small subunit ribosomal RNA", at positions 355 to 796 of the family's 1533-position model. The record is from RNAcentral.